AAUGGGCGCAAGCCUGACCCAGCAACGCCGCGUGAAGGAAGAAGGUCUUCGGAUUGUAAACUUUUGUUGUCAGGGAAGAAAAAGGACAGUACCUGACGAGAAAGCCCCGGCUAACUACGUGCCAGCAGCCGCGGUAAUACGUAGGGGGCGAGCGUUGUCCGGAAUUACUGGGCGUAAAGGGCGCGUAGGCGGCAUGUCAAGUUAGAUGUGAAAUCCCCGGGCUUAACCUGGGAGGUGCAUUUAAAACUGGCAAGCUUGAGUGCAGGAGAGGGAAGCGGAAUUCCUAGUGUAGCGGUGAAAUGCGUAGAUAUUAGGAGGAACAUCGGUGGCGAAGGCGGCUUUCUGGACUGUAACUGACGCUGAGGCGCGAAAGCGUGGGGAGCAAA
RNAcentral lists this ribosomal RNA (386 nucleotides) under uncultured bacterium. Its description in RNAcentral is "bacterial SSU rRNA". It matches the Rfam family "Bacterial small subunit ribosomal RNA", at positions 370 to 772 of the family's 1533-position model. The record is from RNAcentral.